GAUUUAGUCUCUUGAAGCAAAGUUCUGUGACACUCAGACUCUGAUUAUGAUAGAAGUCAGUGCACUACAGAACUUUGUCUUUGGGGGCUGUAGCAG
Molecule: microRNA precursor, 96 nt
Organism: Chelydra serpentina (North American snapping turtle)
Lineage: Eukaryota; Metazoa; Chordata; Testudines; Chelydridae
Source: Ensembl